Molecule: long non-coding RNA, 617 nt
Organism: Triplophysa rosa
Lineage: Eukaryota; Metazoa; Chordata; Actinopteri; Cypriniformes; Nemacheilidae
Exons: 5
Source: RefSeq, a predicted model, not a curated record
AGGCAGAGUGCAGAGGACACCCGAAAUGGAUCCGAAUCUCUACGAAAAACGACUGUGUAAAUUCUAUAAAUUCAUUCUUCAAGCUUCAUACAAGCUCCACUUGCCACCUGAAACCAAUGUGCUCCUAAAAGAUUGUGCUGGAGUUGAUGUGGAUGCUGAUAUUUUUGUUGAUGUCCUGCAAGCUGAGGCAGAGUUCUCUGGAUCCUGAUGGAUGCCCUGAGUCAUAAUUUUCAUCGGAGGAUCCCACCAUGUCUGGAUAUACAAGUAUGCAGUACAUCAAUGCACUUUCUCAAUUGACGAUCUUUGGUAAUAUAUAAGGCUCUCUUUGGAGAUGACAUCUCAUCUCAGACAGAAUUAUUUGAAAAAUGGAAAACGUUUUACAGGAACAUCCAAAAUAAUUGCUGACCAUCAAAACCUAUGACAUGUUGCACAUGUUGACAACCUUUUAUCUGGUCAGCAGCAGUCUGAUUAUGGUAAGUAUUCAUAGAUUUUUCAAUGGUUUGAAGUUAAACUGUAUACCCAUGGUUGUGUGUGUGUUUAUUCUGCUAGGAUGGGACAGUGAUGUGGAGGCUCUCUUGCUCCUUCAUCUCGUGCCUCAAACUGUAAACGGUGAAACU